UUGCAUCAUGCACCUCCUAGUUUUCUUAAAACCCCACCCUACUUCUAUCUUCUUCGGAUCCUCUUCCCCUUCUUCCUCUUUGUCUUCUUCACCAACUCAACUCUUCUUCCAGGAAUGUCAUUCCUAUUUUGAACAGGCGUUCUGUAAGGGUAUAAACUCUUAUGGGAUGACGGAAGGAAAAAUAUUAUAGAACACCUUUUGAGUAAGUAAAAAUAGUGCUUCCAGACUAAUUCUUCUGAAAGAUACAAAAUGCACUUUCUGAAAGGUUAUUCUAGAUUAUAACUUUUGUUAUCAAAAUGGUUCUUCCAUAAGCUAAAUAAUACUUUCUAAAACAUCCUUUCCAGAAGAUACAAAAUACACUUCUAAAAAGGUUAUUCUGGAUUACAAUUGUUGCUUCCGGAAUGGCUUUCCGUAAACAUAAUAAUGAUUUCCAGAACCUUUUUCUUGAAAUAUUCAAAAUAAAUUUUCAGAAAAACUGCUCUGAAUUUAAAAAAGUUGCUUCCAAAAUGAUGUUUUUUUAAGCAAAAAUGCUUCCGGAAUGAAGGUAAUUCUGAAUGCAGCUUUUACGGAAAGGUAAUUUUGAAAGCAUUUAACUAUAUUUUUAAAAAUUUUAAAAUAUGACUUUUCUUAAUUUACUUCCUGUUAAUUUUUUUAAUCAUUAUAAUUAAUUUUAAAAUAUGUAAAUUUAAAGACUUAUUUAAUAGAUCUGAACUGAUAACACUGUCUGGUUUAAACGACUUGCUACCAUCCUAAUUCCCACUAUUAUUCUGGUUUGAACACGACACAUGCAAGUUUUGUUUUAAGCGCAACUGAUAUUGCAUAUAGAAUGAAUAAUUGUUACCUACUCAGUUUGAUUGUGGAGAAAAAUUUAGGGAGAGUAUCUUAUCCUUCAUUUUUACUGCCAACAAACAGAACCCAGAUUUAUUGAAAUUCCACCGUUUGAAAAUGAAAUCUAAACCAACCAUUACUUACUUCCCUACAACAUGUACACUCUAGAUGCAACAUUAUUUUCAUGUUUAACCACAGCCUUAAGCAAUUCUGGAGUUAGCAAAUUCCAGAAAUGUUCACACACUUCACACAUAUAUAUGUAAUUAACAUGCUAUGUAUAUAUCCAAAGAGAUGAACAUUGUUGAAAAUUUAAUGGAAGCCCCACUCGCAACCAUAGGCCAUUAUAUAUGUUAGAUUGUUACCCCUAUUGCUAUAUAUCUAUAUAUGCAUUUGACAUAAACCACUCCCAAACAAAUUGUUCACGAAAAAAACAUGAUUGAGAGGAGAGAAUCCAUUAAAAAUAAUCAAUCAGAUUCUUUGACGAAAAUUAAUUAUAUCAGUAAAAUUAGUGAUCAAGGUUUAAAUAUUGGUCACGGUUGCGUUGCGAUUUUGCAUUUGUUGGUAUCACAACAACUUAUGAAUAAAUGCAGCCGAUGCGAUCUCAAUUACGAUCGUGUUGCGGUGAUGAACUGUUAAAAAACCUUCAUAUUACGGUCUAAAUCACAGUUGUAUACUCGUGUAUCAUUUUUAAAAUCUUACCAGUGAUAGAUACUAUGUAUUAAUAAAAUGUUAAUUAAAAAAAUGACCAAUUUUCAUUUACACAACCUAGAUAAGUGAUGAUCACCAUCAACUAGUGGGUAAUGAUUUGACUGUUUUCUCCCUCAAAAUUUCAGCAUCCCACCUGGGUUGCUUCGAAACACUGAUCUGUUUAUGUCGUGUUGCUCAUGGAGCACAAGCAGGUUGCUAUGGACAUGCACCUGAAGAAGUCCUGGUCUACUGCAUAUGGACCCAUUUCAUGGUCAUAACAGUGCAUCGUGGAUACAAUUGCAACUUUACAAAUAGAUCAGAAACAAAGUUCCAUAGGAUGAGUCAUUGUAUGUAUAACUGUAAAGCAUGAUCAGUAAGGCAUUUUAUCACAUGCAAGCUUUUAAAUUGUAAUUAUGGCCAUGAUAUAUACCUACAUUUAUGGUACGGUCAUUGCUUUAAAUGGUGCUGGUUAGUGGCUAUGAUCAACUUUUGAAAUGUUAAAAUUAUCUUAUCCGGAUCGUAUUUUAAUUUAUUUUAAAAUUUAAUUAACUGGCAUGGUCGUGGAAAAAAGUUGUUUCUUCGGAUAUAUUAACAUUUUUAAAAUUAUCUUUCUUGGGUUGUGAUAUCACCUCAACCUAUAGUUUAAUUAGAUGAGUUUGUUAAAUCUUGAGAAAUUUGUACACACUAUUAGAUUA
RNAcentral lists this long non-coding RNA (2210 nucleotides) under Glycine max (soybean). Its description in RNAcentral is "long non-coding RNA (GMAX_LNC002155)". The record is from RNAcentral. Lineage: Eukaryota; Viridiplantae; Streptophyta; Magnoliopsida; Fabales; Fabaceae.